AGGUGUAGGAUGGCCAUCUGGCUGUGACAUCUGUCACCCCCUUGACCACCAGGGUUGAUUUGGCUGAUCUGGAUAGCUAUAUAGGUGCUCCCUUCCUCCCUCACUGCUCUACGUACAUCCCUCCCAAAGCUGUGGGCUUGGUGGAAGAGGAUAACCUUUCUGGGUAGAGUAUAUUUGGGUAGCUACACUCCCCUACUAGAAAGAACUUGUUUGUUCUCAAGAAUGAAGGUGUAGCUGGGCACAAUGAAACACACCUAUAAUCCUAGUUACUGU
This 273-nucleotide small nuclear RNA is filed under the name Ictidomys tridecemlineatus (thirteen-lined ground squirrel). RNAcentral describes it as "Spermophilus tridecemlineatus (thirteen-lined ground squirrel) 7SK RNA". It matches the Rfam family "7SK RNA". From Rfam's summary of the family: 7SK was discovered as an abundant small nuclear RNA in the mid-70s but a possible function has only recently been suggested. Two independent studies have found that 7SK RNA binds the CDK9/cyclin T complex (known as elongation factor P-TEFb). The record is from Rfam by way of RNAcentral. Lineage: Eukaryota; Metazoa; Chordata; Mammalia; Rodentia; Sciuridae.